UACGUAGGGUGCAAGCGUUGUUCGGAAUCAUUGGGCGUAAAGCGCGUGUAGGCGGUUAGUUAAGUCGGGUGUGAAAUCCCUGGGCUCAACCGAGGAAGUGCAUUCGAAACUAGCUAGCUAGAAGAUGGUAGAGGAAGGUGGAAUUCCUAGUGUAGAGGUGAAAUGCGUAGAUAUCGGGAGGAACACCAGUGGCGAAGGCGGCUUCCUGGCCUGUUCUUGACGCUGAGGCGCGAAAGCGUGGGGAGCAAACAGG
Molecule: ribosomal RNA, 253 nt
Filed under: uncultured bacterium
Lineage: Bacteria
Description: partial 16S ribosomal RNA
Rfam family: Bacterial small subunit ribosomal RNA
Source: RNAcentral